AUGCGACAUCAAGAGCUGGACCAGAGCCAGCAGCACGAGCAGAGCGGCGGCGCCGAGCGGCCCGGCGCGCGCUCGCCGGUGGCCACCCGACGUCGAGGAGGCGGCGGCGAUCUGUAUGGGGAAGCUGCAGGCGGCGGUGGAGGGGUCGGUCUGCGUGGGGACGGCGAGCGCCUGGAAGUCGCACGCCUCGUCCUUUUGGUUCUGCACCUGGAAGUACAUGUUGAAGGCGUAGGAGGCGUUGCCGUUCACGUCCAUGCCGUAGCAGCUGGAGCCCAUGCCGAGCGCCGUGCAGUCGGCGAAGGUGCAGGCGUAGUUCACGUUCUCCACCAGCUUGCUCUUGUCCUCGGCGUUGGGGUUGUACACGCACCACGUCUUGGGCAGGUACUGCACGCCCUUGGCCGGCACCAGCAUGGUGUUCUGCCCGUUCCCGGUGAGGUCCAUGGGGAACUUGGGCUGGCCGUCGAAGCGGAGCACGCCCCAGUGCCGCUCGAACGCGCCCGGCGCCACGCUCUUGACGUCCUCGUCCAGGAGCCCGAAGAGGUAGACCUCCAUGUACUGUUUGGGCCGGAGCGGCGUGCCGGUGUUGGCCGCCAGCCGCGGCAGCAGGCCGUCGUAGAAGCGCUUGGCGAGGGCGUUGGUGGCGUGCUUGUCGCCGUCGGUCGGCCAGCCGACCUCGCCGAUGACGAUGGGCAAGUCGCCGUGGCCGACGGCGGCGAGCGCCGACACCAGCGUGUCGAAGUUGGCGUCGAACACGUUGGUGUAAGUGUUGACGCCGUCGACCAGCGGCUUGGCGAGGCCGUCGAAGAAGGCGAAGUCGACGGGGAAGUCCUCGCUGAGGUAGAGGCUGAGGUAGGGGUAGAUGUUGACGGUGAAGGGGGCGCUGUUGUUGGCCAGGAACUGCACCAUCUGCGUCAUGAGCGGGGCGACGUCCGUCCGGAAGCGGCCCGCCGACGGCACCUGGUUGUUGGCGGGCGAGUUGUAGACGUCGGCGUUGAGCGGCACGGUGGCCUUGAUCUCGCUGAAUCCGGCGUCGUUGAGCGCGUUCUGGAUGUUCUGCAGCGCCGGGAAGGUGACCUUGUCGAAGGUGCCGUUGUAGGAGGCCAAAAAGGGCUCAUUGCCGACGGCCACGUACCUGCGAACAGAACAGAACAUCACAUCAUCAGUAAGUAG
RNAcentral lists this ribosomal RNA (1170 nucleotides) under Triticum aestivum (bread wheat). Its description in RNAcentral is "partial small subunit ribosomal RNA". Lineage: Eukaryota; Viridiplantae; Streptophyta; Magnoliopsida; Poales; Poaceae. The record is from RNAcentral.